RNAcentral lists this long non-coding RNA (442 nucleotides) under Elaeis guineensis (African oil palm). Its description in RNAcentral is "long non-coding RNA (EGUI_LNC055154)". Lineage: Eukaryota; Viridiplantae; Streptophyta; Magnoliopsida; Arecales; Arecaceae. The record is from RNAcentral.
AAUUUUGUUUGCGAUACGGAGUUCUUUGCGAUAUUUGAUGCUGACAAAGAAGUUGUUUGGUUAUGAAAGUUCAUCAGCGAGCUUGAAGUGGCACCUUCCAUUGAUGGUCUGGUCCUUCUGUAUUGACAGUAACAUUGGAGCCAUAGUUCAAGCUGAAGAACUGAUGUUUUAUCUAAGAACCAAAUACUUUCUGCAUUGCAAUCAUCUUAUCUGAAAAGAUUGAGGUAAAGUCAACUUUAAGAAGAUCGACUGAAAGGAGAACUUGGCCAACCCAUUGACUAGAGCAAUCGGAUCUAAGGAGUUCGAUGAUCACAAAUGGAAGACGGAUAUUUGAUACCGAUCUGAUUGGCUUUAGUCCAAGUGGGAGUUAUUGGAAAAUGUAUUCUAAAGUCAAUCAUUUAGGUUGUAGAUGAUUGCACUCCAUGAUAUAUAUGAAUUAUAA